RNAcentral lists this transfer RNA (76 nucleotides) under Gammaproteobacteria bacterium. RNAcentral's name for it is "tRNA-Met". It matches the Rfam family "tRNA". Rfam says of the family: Transfer RNA (tRNA) molecules are approximately 80 nucleotides in length. Their secondary structure includes four short double-helical elements and three loops (D, anti-codon, and T loops). The record is from RNAcentral. RNAcentral also lists the same sequence under 1 other name. Lineage: Bacteria; Pseudomonadati; Pseudomonadota; Gammaproteobacteria.
AGCAGGGUAGAGCAGUUGGGAGCUCAUCGGGCUCAUAUCCCGAAGGUCGCUGGUUCGAGUCCAGCCCCUGCUACCA